This 426-nucleotide ribosomal RNA is filed under the name Triticum aestivum (bread wheat). RNAcentral's name for it is "partial small subunit ribosomal RNA". Lineage: Eukaryota; Viridiplantae; Streptophyta; Magnoliopsida; Poales; Poaceae. The record is from RNAcentral.
AUGACGAAACCCAAGAGAGCCGGGGGCAUCGGGUUUCGUGAUAUGCACCUUUUCAACCAGGCAUUGCUGGCCUGACAGGAGUGGAGACUGAUCCAAAAACCAAAAACCCUAUGUGUGAGGGUCCUCAAGUUAAAAUAUUUCCCAAACGGUAACCUUCUCUCCACGGAUGCAUCACCGGCUUGGAGGGGUUCCAAGUUUGGGCUGGAAUUACUUAAGAGGGGUCUUAUUUGGCGAGUGGGGAAUGGAAAAAAGAUACAAAUCACGAGGGACCAAUGGGUACAACAGAAUGAAGGGUUGAAAGUAGCCUCUUUUCUGAGAAGAACAAGACUUAGGUGGGUCAACCAACUCAUUGAUGAAGAGACUAAGGAAUGGAAGUAUGAGCUGGUGAAACAGAUUUUCCGUGACUUUUGCGGAGGAAAUAUGUAA